Molecule: RNase P RNA, 397 nt
Filed under: Allorhizobium paknamense
Lineage: Bacteria; Pseudomonadati; Pseudomonadota; Alphaproteobacteria; Hyphomicrobiales; Rhizobiaceae
Description: RNase P RNA component class A
Rfam family: Bacterial RNase P class A
About the family: Ribonuclease P (RNase P) is a ubiquitous endoribonuclease, found in archaea, bacteria and eukarya as well as chloroplasts and mitochondria. Its best characterised activity is the generation of mature 5'-ends of tRNAs by cleaving the 5'-leader elements of precursor-tRNAs.
Source: RNAcentral
CCAGUCGGCCGGGCAGCCGCGCUUCACCAAUGCCGAAAGGCGGUGGGGUGAGGAAAGUCCGGGCUCCAUGGAAACACGGUGCCGGAUAACGUCCGGCGAGGGUGACCUCAGGGAAAGUGCCGCAGAAAACAAACCGCCCCGGCCUGGCCGGAGCAAGGGUGAAAAGGUGGGGUAAGAGCCCACCGCGAGGCUGGCAACAGCCCUUGGCAUGGUAAACCCCACCGGGAGCAAGACCGAAUAGGGAUGGCGCGGGCCGCGUGCGGCCACAGCUGGUUUCCAGGCCAGCCAUCCGGGUGGGUCGCGAGAGGCGGCGCGCAAGCGCCGUCCCAGAUGAAUGGCUGCCACGUUCCGGGAAACCGGGGCCAUACAGAACCCGGCUUACAGGCCGACUGGUAUU